GGGAGAAGAGGCAUGAUGGGAAGAAGAACCUGGUCCUUUGUUGGGAGUAUUAUGGAAGGAAUUGGCAAGUGACAGAGAGGCAACAGAAUGGAAUUCACACUGCUGAUAUUCAAAGCAUGGUGGCGAGGCAGUUGAAUUUCAACCCAGAUGCAGCACUUCUUUGAGUCUGAACACAAAGAAACUGCUAAGAGACAGCAGUUCACCCUCGAGUGUCCAUCUCAGGGAGCCCAUCUGUCAUGUCUUCAGAAGUGAAAUAUCACCUUUUCUGGAUUGGAGGGCCUGCAGUUAGCCAACCUGAUUCCAGGCUCUGCUGCUUUCUACCUAUGUCACUUGGAACAAAUUGGAAAAAUGUUUUUCCUAUUAAGCUCAGAAGAUCCAGAGACUCAGCAGUUUAUUGGCGUUCCCAAACACAUGAUGGUCCGUGGGGGGAUUUUAACCUCUGCAUGAAGUACUGUUUUCGGCUCUGGAAACAGCUUAAUUUAUUCUCUCUAUUCAAGAGUAAGAAAUAUCACUUCCCCAGUCCAUGAAAACCAAAGAAGAGAGACGUGGAAGGUACCUUGCAGAGCACUCCCACACAUUUCUACGACAUUUCCUGCAAGGCAGCAUUGCAACUCCAAGCAAAUAAAAAAGUUGGG
Long non-coding RNA from Fukomys damarensis (Damara mole-rat), 635 nucleotides. RefSeq lists it as uncharacterized. Lineage: Eukaryota; Metazoa; Chordata; Mammalia; Rodentia; Bathyergidae. The transcript is spliced from 4 exons. The record is from RefSeq and is a predicted model, not a curated record.